ACUCAAAGGAAUUGACGGGGGCCCGCACAAGCGGUGGAGCAUGUGGUUUAAUUCGAUGCAACGCGAAGAACCUUACCAAGGCUUGACAUCUCUCUGACGAGUAUAGAGAUAUACUUUCCCUUCGGGGCAGAGAUGACAGGUGGUGCAUGGUUGUCGUCAGCUCGUGUCGUGAGAUGUUGGGUUAAGUCCCGCAACGAGCGCAACCCUUACGUUCAGUAGCCAUCACUUCGGGUGGGCACUUUGGACGGACUGCCGUGGAUAACACGGAGGAAGGCGGGGACGACGUCAAAUCAUCAUGCCCUUUAUGUCUUGGGCAACACACGUGCUACAAUGGCUGCAACAAAGUGACGCAAGCACGCGAGUGUAAGCAAAACACAAAAAAGCAGUCUCAGUUCGGAUUGUAGUCUGCAACUCGACUAUAUGAAGCUGGAAUCGCUAGUAAUCGUGAAUCAGCAUGUCACGGUGAAUACGUUCCCGGGCCUUGUACACACCGCCCGU
This 498-nucleotide ribosomal RNA is filed under the name uncultured bacterium. RNAcentral's name for it is "bacterial SSU rRNA". It matches the Rfam family "Bacterial small subunit ribosomal RNA", at positions 899 to 1397 of the family's 1533-position model. The record is from RNAcentral.